This 169-nucleotide ribosomal RNA is filed under the name uncultured bacterium. Its description in RNAcentral is "partial 16S ribosomal RNA". It matches the Rfam family "Bacterial small subunit ribosomal RNA", at positions 1330 to 1500 of the family's 1533-position model. The record is from RNAcentral.
AAUUGCUAGUAAUGGCAGGUCAGCAUACUGCCGUGAAUACGUUCCCGGGCCUUGUACACACCGCCCGUCACACCAUGAGAGUUGGGAAUACCCGAAGCCUGUGAGCCAACAAACGAGGCAGCAGUCGAAGGUAGAAUCAAUGAUUGGGGUGAAGUCGUAACAAGGUACC